CUACGUGCCAGCAGCCGCGGUAAUACGGAAGGUCCAGGCGUUAUCCGGAUUUAUUGGGUUUAAAGGGAGCGUAGGCUGGAGAUUAAGUGUGUUGUGAAAUGUAGACGCUCAACGUCUGAAUUGCAGCGCAUACUGGUUUCCUUGAGUACGCACAACGUUGGCGGAAUUCGUCGUGUAGCGGUGAAAUGCUUAGAUAUGGCGAAGAACUCCGAUCGCGAAGGCAGGUGUCCGGGCUGCAACUGACGCUGAGGCUCGAAAGUGUGGGUAUCAAACAGGAUUAGAUACCCUGGUAGUCCACACAGUAAACGAUGUAUACUCGCGGUUUGCGAUAGACAGUAAGCCGCCAAGCGAAAGCAUUAAGUAUACCACCUGGGGAGUACGCCGGCAACGGUGAAACUCAAAGGAAUUGACGGGGGCCCGCACAAGCGGUGGAGCAUGUGGUUUAAUUCGAAGCAACGCGAAGAACCUUACCAGGUCUUGACAUCCCUCUGACCGCUCUAGAGAUAGAGUUUUC
Molecule: ribosomal RNA, 514 nt
Filed under: uncultured bacterium
Lineage: Bacteria
Description: bacterial SSU rRNA
Rfam family: Bacterial small subunit ribosomal RNA
Source: RNAcentral